CAAUAGCGUAUAUUUAAGUUGCUGCAGUUAAAAAGCUCGUAGUUGGAUUUCGGGUGGGAAUGGCCGGUCCGCCGUUUCGGUGUGCACUUGCUACGCCCACCUUGCUGCCGGGGACGUGCUCUUGAGUUCACGCUCGGGACACGGAGUCGGCGAGGUUACGUUGAGUAAAUUAGAGUGUUCAAAGCAGGCCUACGCUCUGAAUACAUUAGCAUGGAAUAACACGAUAGGACUCUGGCCUAUCUUGUUGGUCUGUAGGACCGGAGUAAUGAUUAAGAGGGACAGUCGGGGGCAUUCGUAUUUCAUUGUCAGAGGUGAACUUCUUGGAUUUAUGAAAGACGAACUACUGCGAAAGCAUUUGCCAAGGAUGUUUUCAUUAA
Molecule: ribosomal RNA, 377 nt
Filed under: uncultured eukaryote
Lineage: Eukaryota
Description: partial 18S ribosomal RNA
Rfam family: Eukaryotic small subunit ribosomal RNA
Source: RNAcentral